AAGGGAGAGGAUAAGGUAGAAAUCUACCCUCGGGACGGGGAUAGCUGCGGGAAACUGCUGGUAAUACCCGAUAAUAUCUUUGGAUCAAAGGUGUGAUUCCGCCUGGGGAUGAGUCUACUUCCUAUUAGCUAGUUGGCAGGGUAAUGGCCUACCAAGGCAACGAUGGGUAGCGGGUGUGAGAGCAUGACCCGCCUCACUGGGACUGAGAACUGCCCAGACACCUACGGGUGGCUGCAGUCGAGAAUCUUCGGCAAUGGGCGCAAGCCUGACCGAGCGACGCCGCGUGCGGGAUGAAGGCCCUCGGGUUGUAAACCGCUGUCGUAGGGGAACAAAUGUAAGUGGGUUCUCCCAUUUACUUGAGUGAUCCUAGGAGGAAGGGGAGGCUAAGCUCGCGCCAGCAGCCGCGGUAAGACGAGCUCCCCGAACGUUAUUCGGUAUUACUGGGCUUAAAGAGUUCGUAGGCGGCCCGACAGGUGAGGUGUGAAAUCCCUCGGCUCAACCGAGGAACUGCGCUUCAAACCGUCAGGCUUGAGGGAGAUAGAGGUGAGCGGAACAGAUGGUGGAGCGGUGAAAUGCGUUGA
RNAcentral lists this ribosomal RNA (581 nucleotides) under uncultured bacterium. RNAcentral's name for it is "bacterial SSU rRNA". It matches the Rfam family "Bacterial small subunit ribosomal RNA", at positions 102 to 694 of the family's 1533-position model. The record is from RNAcentral.